This is a long non-coding RNA of Puntigrus tetrazona (Sumatra barb), 685 nucleotides long. RefSeq lists it as uncharacterized. The transcript is spliced from 7 exons. The record is from RefSeq and is a predicted model, not a curated record. Lineage: Eukaryota; Metazoa; Chordata; Actinopteri; Cypriniformes; Cyprinidae.
CAUCACAUUUAAUCACCAUCCAGAUAUGUGGGAUAAUUGUUUGCUGCGUGCUAGAGCUCAUAGUAUACUUUUUCUAUAGACUGGCAGGUUGAAAUAAUUCCCUUACUGGCUUUUGGCUGAGGUUGCCCAUUGCAGUCAGUCAGCUCGGCUUCCCCUGCAUAUCCAUUGCCUGCUUGACUGAUUGGAGGUCAGUACUGAAUAAUACGUCCUCCAAUAUCAUCACUGCUCUCGAAGCACACAGGCUCCAGCCCUUCGUCUAAACAGCAUUUGAUGGAGGUCAGACCAGAGCUGCCUGCUCCAAUCACAGCCACACGCUUAGCCAUGAUAGCUCUCCCGACUGCCUGCUAAAAUGCCGGAGUUCAGAUUGCAUGACGUCAACUGCAGGAGCUCUAUAAAGAUCCUCCAAUAUCAUCACUGCUCUCGAAGCACACAGGCUCCAGCCCUUCGUCUAAACAGCAUUUGAUGGAGGUCAGACCAGAGCUGCCUGCUCCAAUCACAGCCACACGCUUAGCCAUGAUAUCUCUCCCGACUGCCUGCUAAAAUGCCAGAGUUCAGAUUGCAUGACGUCAACUGCAGGAGCUCUAUAAAGAUCCUCCAAUAUCAUCACUGCUCUCGAAGCACACAGGCUCCAGCCCUUCGUCUAAACAGCAUUUGAUGGAGGUCAGACCAGAGCUGCCUGCUCCAA